GCGGACGGGUGAGUAACGCGUGGGUAACCUGCCUUAUACAGGGGGAUAACAGUUAGAAAUGACUGCUAAUACCGCAUAAGCGCACAGGAUUGCAUGAUCCGGUGUGAAAAACUCCGGUGGUAUAAGAUGGACCCGCGUCUGAUUAGCUUGUUGGUGAGGUAACGGCCCACCAAGGCGACGAUCAGUAGCCGACCUGAGAGGGUGACCGGCCACAUUGGGACUGAGACACGGCCCAAACUCCUACGGGAGGCAGCAUG
Molecule: ribosomal RNA, 257 nt
Filed under: uncultured bacterium
Lineage: Bacteria
Description: partial 16S ribosomal RNA
Rfam family: Bacterial small subunit ribosomal RNA
Source: RNAcentral